GCCGAUGCUGGUGAAGGGCCCUGCGCCCUCCAGUGGCGUGGCCGAUGUUCCGCUCGACGCGCCUGCC
Molecule: transfer RNA, 67 nt
Filed under: Xanthomonas campestris pv. campestris
Lineage: Bacteria; Pseudomonadati; Pseudomonadota; Gammaproteobacteria; Lysobacterales; Lysobacteraceae
Description: tRNA-Trp
Source: RNAcentral